GGGGAUAUAGCUCAGUGGCACAGUACCUGCCUGGCAAGCUCAAGGUCGUGAGUUUGAUUCUCACUACCA
This 69-nucleotide transfer RNA is filed under the name Cavia porcellus (domestic guinea pig). It matches the Rfam family "tRNA". Rfam says of the family: Transfer RNA (tRNA) molecules are approximately 80 nucleotides in length. Lineage: Eukaryota; Metazoa; Chordata; Mammalia; Rodentia; Caviidae. The record is from Rfam by way of RNAcentral.